Molecule: transfer RNA, 85 nt
Filed under: Felis catus (domestic cat)
Lineage: Eukaryota; Metazoa; Chordata; Mammalia; Carnivora; Felidae
Rfam family: tRNA
About the family: Transfer RNA (tRNA) molecules are approximately 80 nucleotides in length. Their secondary structure includes four short double-helical elements and three loops (D, anti-codon, and T loops). Further hydrogen bonds mediate the characteristic L-shaped molecular structure. tRNAs have two regions of fundamental functional importance: the anti-codon, which is responsible for specific mRNA codon recognition, and the 3' end, to which the tRNAs corresponding amino acid is attached (by aminoacyl-tRNA synthetases). tRNAs cope with the degeneracy of the genetic code in two manners: having more than one tRNA (with a specific anti-codon) for a particular amino acid; and 'wobble' base-pairing, i.e. permitting non-standard base-pairing at the 3rd anti-codon position.
Source: Rfam by way of RNAcentral
ACCUGGGUGGCUCAGUCGGUUGAGCAACUGACUUCAGCUCAGGUCAUGAUCUCACGGUUUGUGGGUUCGAGCCCCGCGUCAGCUG